RNAcentral lists this ribosomal RNA (413 nucleotides) under uncultured Cellulomonas sp. Its description in RNAcentral is "bacterial SSU rRNA". It matches the Rfam family "Bacterial small subunit ribosomal RNA", at positions 973 to 1382 of the family's 1533-position model. Lineage: Bacteria; Bacillati; Actinomycetota; Actinomycetes; Micrococcales; Cellulomonadaceae. The record is from RNAcentral.
ACCAAGGCUUGACAUGCACCGGAAACCAAUCAGAGAUGGUGGCUCCGUAAGGCUGGUGCACAGGUGGUGCAUGGUUGUCGUCAGCUCGUGUCGUGAGAUGUUGGGUUAAGUCCCGCAACGAGCGCAACCCUCGUCCCAUGUUGCCAGCGGGUUAUGCCGGGGACGUCAUGGGAGGACUGCCGGGGUCGAACUCGGAGGAAGGUGGGGAUGACGUCAAAUCAUCAUGCCCCUUAUGUCUUGGGCUUCACGCAUGCUACAAUGGCCGGUACAGAGGGCUGCGAUGCCGUGAGGCGGAGCGAAUCCCAAAAAGACCGGUCUCAGUUCGGAUUGGGGUCUGCAGCUCGACCCCAUGAAGUCGGAGUCGCUAGUAAUCGCAGAUCAGCAACGCUGCGGUGAAUACGUUCCCGGGCCUU